UACGGAGGGUGCAAGCGUUAUCCGGAUUCACUGGGUUUAAAGGGUGCGUAGGAGGGCAGGUAAGUCAGUGGUGAAAUCCCCGAGCUUAACUUGGGAACUGCCGUUGAUACUAUCUGUCUUGAAUACCGUGGAGGUGAGCGGAAUAUGUCAUGUAGCGGUGAAAUGCGUAGAUAUCCGGAGGAACACCGGUGGCGAAGGCGGCUUCCUGGACCGACACUGACGCUGAGGCGCGAAAGCUAGGGGAGCAAACGGG
RNAcentral lists this ribosomal RNA (253 nucleotides) under uncultured bacterium. Its description in RNAcentral is "partial 16S ribosomal RNA". It matches the Rfam family "Bacterial small subunit ribosomal RNA", at positions 524 to 776 of the family's 1533-position model. The record is from RNAcentral.